AUGAGAACAUGCCCCCUGGGUAGAUCUCCCACCCUCUGUCUACAGUACCUCUGUUGCUUUGGCAGGCCCGCGUCUGCGCCGCCGGCUCCGGCUGGUCAGCGCCUGCCAGAGGCCUUACAACUCUUGUUAUCCAUGCCGUCUGAGUAUCAUACAAUAGUUA
Molecule: unclassified non-coding RNA, 160 nt
Filed under: uncultured Leotiomycetes
Lineage: Eukaryota; Fungi; Ascomycota; Leotiomycetes
Description: sequence contains ITS1
Source: RNAcentral